RNAcentral lists this long non-coding RNA (3435 nucleotides) under Suricata suricatta (meerkat). RNAcentral describes it as "lncRNA (ENSSSUG00005006389.1)". Lineage: Eukaryota; Metazoa; Chordata; Mammalia; Carnivora; Herpestidae. The record is from RNAcentral.
CACGAGACAGCGCAGCCAGUGUGGCGGGGGCCCUGCGUCACCGAAGGCAAUAGAGGACACGCUUAAAAGAAACAAGUGAAUUAAACUUGACUUGGGUUCACUUUCCGCAGCGGAGGCUCCUCCCUUCCGGGCCCCCUCGUCCACCUCUGCGUCACUCGGGUGGCGUGUCUAGAGCAUCAUCACGUGCCAGGUUCUCCCCACCACCCGUCACCAGCACGCGGUUCACACGGCACCUUCGUCGGCCUGGAUUUUCUCACGCCCACCAGGCCUGUCACCAGGGCACGUCAGAGAGCGGUCCCCACCUCUCAGCAUGCUCGCCAACACCCAGCCGGCCGGCCCUGGGCGAGCCCUGGGCGAGGGAGCUGCGCCGGCGGAAAUCACUCCGUGAGCGUCAAACGUCGGUAAAAGGCUCUGGAAAAAAGAUCAAACGAAAUACAUAAAACUUCCCGAGGAAACUGGACGGAACAGUGAGUCUGCAAAGGGAGAGCAUGUUCCUGUGGUAUUUGGCGAUGAAAAGCAAAAGCUGAGAACUACAGACUUUUCUCUUUGUGAGGGAGAUGACUGCUUAUGUCUAAAAAGGCAGCUCUCAGGGCGCCUGGCUGGCUCCGUCGGUUAAACGUCCGACGUCAGUUCAGGCGGUGACCUCUUGCUUGGUGAGUUUGAGCCCCGCGUCGGGCUCAAUGCCGUCCGUGCAGAAGCCGCUUCCGAUCCUCCGUCUCUCUCUGCCCUUCCCCCCCUCUCAAAAAUUAAUAAACCUUAAAAAAUUAUAAAAAGGGGGGCGCCGGGGUGGCUCAGUCGGUUAAGCCUCGGCUUCAGCUCAGGUCAGAUCUCACGUUCGUGGGUUCGAGCCCCGCAUCAGGCUCUGUGCUGACAGCUAGCUCAGAGCCUGGAGCCUGCUUCGGAUUCUGUCUCCUCCUCUCUCUGACCCUCCCCCUCUCAUGCUCUGUCUCUCUCUGUAUCAAAAAUAAAAUAUUUAAAAAAAAUUUUUUUUUAAUUAUACAAAGGGAAUUGUAAGAACAUGUUCUUUAGGAUUUGGAAAUUCAGGUAUCCUUGACUGGACGUAACAGAUCUUCUAAUGAAUGCACUGGUCUGCGUGAUCCUGGAUUCGAAGUUCUGUUUUAUAGACAUUGUCUCUAGAGGUUUAACUUGUCGGCUGAGUGCAUGAAUUCAGCUCUGUACGUAUGCAGACUGUGUUCGGGUCCCCCAGCACCGGUCCCUGAGACCUGCGUCCUGCAGAGGGCCGGGACCAGCCGGGCUCAGUGACUGGCCUCCACGUGGUAACGAGACUUCGCUCUAGGCCCGUAAGGAGCAGGAGAAGCCAGAGAAGGGCCGGUGCGGGGCAGGCACUCCGCACGGGGGUUAAGAGACGUCCACUUCCCGACGCAGCCAGUCCACGUGGGACCGCCUGGGAACAGGUCACAUGCCCCCUCCCCCACCUUCCCUCACAACACGAGGUGCUCGCACGCCGCACCUCACCGUGCGCUCUGAGGACCUGUGGUGCAGACGGCGGGCCGUCCGGUCCCUGGAGGUGUCGUUCCCUCCAGUGGAGCCCUGAGGGCCGGCCCCUCCGUCUGCGGGGCCUGCGGGCCACCUUCUGAGGGGGACGCGCCACGGAGGACCCCCUUGUUGGCCAUGUCUAGGUGUAUCUUCAGGCCAGACAGCGAGCAGUAUUUCGGGCUCCCCUGCCCAGCUGUUGACAAUCAGACGUCCCUCCUGAGGGACAGCCCCUGAGAACCGAAGGCGGGUCCCCUCCCAAGGCUCCAGGGUAAGCCACUCUUCCACUACGUGUGUGGCCCAGUGGCCUCGGCGGCCCAGCGCCGACGUGGCCAGGACGCUUUCCGAGCUCCUGGGGGCCUUCUACGGCAUCAGCAGAAACCUCUGGCCGUCGUUCGGAUGUGAGGUGCCUCCUUCAAGAGGGGAGUUAAAGCCUGUUUAACAUCAUCUCAUGAAACAUUUACUCCAAUUAGAGUCUGACAUCCCCUUAUUCUCUGUCAUAAAAUGUUUAAUAUUCUUCUUUCUCCUCUUGACGAAAAACAGUCUAACAAGUUGUCAGACUGGCGCGCUUCCACACUUUAAUUAAGUACAUGGGAGAAAUUUGAUUAUGGAUCUAACACAAUUAUUACUCCUGUUUCUUAUACACGAUUCCUAUUUAAUUAUCUCGAAAAGACAGAUGCCCGUGUUCAAUACACAAGUCUAUACCCAUUUCCCAAAGACCACGCUUCACACACCCAGCUCCAGACAUAACAGCAUUUGAAGGACACUUCACUGAAUACAGAAUAGUAGUUAUAUCAGAUGUGUGUCCCUGGGCCAUUGACAGAUUUUAGUAACAUAUCCUACAAGAUGUGCUCUGAGUUAUUUCUUAAUGGCUCUUUUAAAAAUAAUAUUCCUUAGGGGCGCCUGGGUGGCCAAUGGGUCGAGCAUCCAACUUCAGUUCAGGUCAUGAUCUCAGGGUUCAUGGGUUUGAGCCCCGUGUCGGGCUCUGUGCUGACAGCUCAGAGCCUGGAGCUGCUUCAGAUCCUGUGUCUUCCUCCUCCUCUGCCCCUCCCCUGCUCAUGCUCUGUCUCUCAGCAAUAAAUAAAUGCUUAAAAAAUUUUUAAUGCUGUUCUUUAAAACACAUGGAAAAUAAAGUCGGUUCUUUCUAAUUUUAUUAAAGAAGGAAAGACAGCGUGAUGUGGGGGCCCGGUCCGCCGGCACUGGCUCUGCUCACUGGGUCCCAGGGCAGAUGUUCCCCAUCCCCUUGAUGAGUUAAAUGGGGAGCUCCAAGGGCUUGCCCAGAAUAACAAGGUUCAUAAAGCAGGCAAAGCGAUAAAAACAUUUUAAAGAACAUAAUAUUGUAUCGAAAAAGUUAUGCUAAAACUGACACUGAUGGGGCGCCCGGGGGGCUCAGUCAGUUGAGCAUCAGACCCUUAAUUUCGGCUCAGGGCAUGAUCCCAGGGGUCGUGGGAUGGAGCCUGCCUGGGAGUCCCUCUCCCUCUCUCUCUGCCCCUUCCCUACUUCUGCUCUCUUCUUACAAAAUAAGUAAAUGAGCUUAAAAUAAAGGAAAAGCAGCUGGCACUGAAAUGUCCUGACAAGACGAGGGGCUGCGAGUGGAGAGGCAGUGGGCACCACAAGCAGCCACUGUAUACGUGUCACCGAGGGUCCGGCUGGUUUAAAUAAGGAGUAACUUCCAGGAGUGGGUGACAUGCACGUGCACAGGCGGCGGCUCAGUGACCCCGACCGCAGGAGGGCCCAACGAGCGGGUCAGCGGGUUCGGAAUGGAAACGGAAAGGUGGCUACAGUGGCAUGGGCGCCCCGGGGGGCCCUGCCACCUACCGGACUGAGUGACGGUUCUGCAGGGGGGGCUCUGUUUCCACCCACGUACUUCUGAGAACACGCUUUCUCAGCAUUUGCAUCUGGAGGAUGGAAAACAGACACAGGCGAGGUGCUAAAUCAUGU